AGAACGAACGCUGGCGGCAUGCCUAACACAUGCAAGUCGAACGAGACCUUCGGGUCUAGUGGCGCACGGGUGCGUAACGCGUGGGAAUCUGCCCUUGGGUCCGGGAUAACAGUUGGAAACGACUGCUAAUACCGGAUGAUGACUUCGGUCCAAAGAUUUAUCGCCCAGGGAUGAGCCCGCGUCGGAUUAGCUAGUUGGUGGGGUAAAGGCCCACCAAGGCAACGAUCCGUAGCUGGUCUGAGAGGAUGAUCAGCCACACUGGGACUGAGACACGGCCCAGACUCCUACGGGAGGCAGCAGUGGGGAAUAUUGCACAAUGGGCGCAAGCCUGAUGCAGCGACGCCGCGUGAGGGAUGACGGCCUUCGGGUUGUAAACCUCUUCAGUAGGGAGAAGCGAAGUGACGGUACCUGCAGAAGAGCGCCGGCUAACACGUGCAGCAGCCGC
This 445-nucleotide ribosomal RNA is filed under the name uncultured bacterium. RNAcentral describes it as "SSU rRNA". It matches the Rfam family "Bacterial small subunit ribosomal RNA", at positions 26 to 518 of the family's 1533-position model. The record is from RNAcentral.